Molecule: ribosomal RNA, 428 nt
Filed under: uncultured bacterium
Lineage: Bacteria
Description: bacterial SSU rRNA
Rfam family: Bacterial small subunit ribosomal RNA
Source: RNAcentral
UGAGGAAUUUUGCGCAAUGGCCGCAAGGCUGACGCAGCAACGCCGCGUGGGUGAUGAAGGCCUUCGGGUCGUAAAGCCCUGUCAGGUGGGAAGAACGAUUGGGGGUCGAAUAGGCCUUUGAUGUGACGGUACCACCAGAGGAAGCACCGGCUAACUCCGUGCCAGCAGCCGCGGUAAUACGGAGGGUGCGAGCGUUAUUCGGAAUUACUGGGCGUAAAGCGCGUGUAGGCGGCCUGGCAAGUCUGAUGUGAAAGCCCCGGGCUUAACCUGGGAAGUGCAUUGGNAACUGUCGGGCUUGAGUACUGGAGAGGAUGGGGGAAUUCCCGGUGUAGAGGUGAAAUUCGUAGAGAUCGGGAGGAAUAUCAGUGGCGAAGGCGCCCAUCUGGACGGUAACUGACGCUGAGACGCGAAAGCGUGGGGAGCAAACA